Pogonomyrmex barbatus (red harvester ant) is the source of this 888-nucleotide long non-coding RNA. RefSeq lists it as uncharacterized. Lineage: Eukaryota; Metazoa; Arthropoda; Insecta; Hymenoptera; Formicidae. The record is from RefSeq and is a predicted model, not a curated record.
UGCGGCCACUGCCGCACUCCGCCUGAUGUUCGGCGGUCCCCGACGGAUCGAUCGGGGGAGAUCCGGAGGAGGACUGGAGCGGAAGGAUGCGCUCCGUUACACAACUAAUACCUAACCAAACAUCCAUGAAAAGUACCAUGAUUUGCAUGGCAGAUAGCGCGCUAGUCUUAGACACCUGAGGACCUAGGUUCGAAUCUCACCGCGGCCAACAUCUUUUUCCGUCAUCAAAUUCAACACAUCGUAGACAACGCUCUUCACCAGCGCCACAAAUCAUUCGCAUCUAUGUCAUUUGACAGCUGACAGUUCUAGCUUCAUUCUAAAAAAAAAAAUUGAGCGAUUUAGUCGAGUUUUGGAGAUUUUAUAACAUGUUGAAGAUGGAAGACCAAACUGUGCAUUUUCGCCAUAUAUUACUGUUUUACUUCCGUAAAGGGAAGAACGCGCAUCAAGCUUGUGAAAAAUUGUGUAAAGUUUAUAGUGACAAUGCUCUACAAGAACGUCAGUGCCAACGAUAGUUCACGAAAUUCCAUGCUGUGAUUUUGAUCUUAAUGACGCUCCUCGGUCAGGGAGGCCUACCGAGGUUGAUGACGACAAAAUAAAAGCAUUGAUCAAGUCAAACUCACGUUACACGACACGAGAGAUUGCACAAACAUUGAACAUCCAUUAUUCAAGCAUUCACGACCACCUGAAGAAACUGGGAUACCGACUGGUGAUGAGAAGUGGAUUGUUUACAACAAUGUGGUGCGCAAACGGUCUUGAUCCUGACGUGAUGAUUCGCUUCAAACGAUAAAAGCAAAUUCAUCAGAAGGUUAUGCUCUCAGUGUGAUGAUAUUUUAAAGGUGUUGUAUUUUUCAAGCUCCUACCAAGGAAUUAAACAAUCAAUUCGAAUGU